UACGUAGGGGGUGAGCGUUGUCCGGAGUUACUGGGCGUAAAGCGCACGCAGGCGGUCUGUUAAGUUUGGAGUGACAGUUGGUGGCUCAACCACCAAAGUGCUUUGAAAACUGAUAGACUUGAGGGCUUCAGAGGGACACGGAAUUCCGGGUGGAGUGGUGAAAUGCGUAGAGAUCCGGAGGAACACCAAAGGCGAAGGCAGUGUCCUGGGGAGUACCUGACGCUCAGGUGCGAAAGCCAGGGGAGCGAACGGG
RNAcentral lists this ribosomal RNA (253 nucleotides) under uncultured bacterium. RNAcentral describes it as "partial 16S ribosomal RNA". It matches the Rfam family "Bacterial small subunit ribosomal RNA", at positions 524 to 776 of the family's 1533-position model. The record is from RNAcentral.